RNAcentral lists this long non-coding RNA (643 nucleotides) under Heterocephalus glaber (naked mole-rat). Its description in RNAcentral is "lncRNA (ENSHGLG00100036934.1)". The record is from RNAcentral. Lineage: Eukaryota; Metazoa; Chordata; Mammalia; Rodentia; Bathyergidae.
CAAAACUUAAGAAAGGAUGGGGGGAGGACAAAACAAAAGAAGUUAUAAAGCCACUGGCGCCAUCAAUCUCUUAGAACUCAUCGGAGCCAGAAAAGGAGCCUGAUGCAACACAGUGCAGGGGCAGCAUGGCUACAACCCUGUGUCUGCACUUCUGAAGCCAGGACACAAAAGCAGGCAGGUGUGGAGCUCUGACAUUUGGAGGACAAAGACAGCAGAAAAUGAACUGCAAUAUACAGUCCAAGCCUUCAGUAGAUCCCAGAUGAGUUCCAGAACAAUCACAGCAGACAGAUUCUCCCAAGAAUAUGGAAUUAACCAGCCUCUUCUGGGAUGAGUUCUGAAAUGGAUCCUUUCACCUGAAAGGCAAGGAGUUGGAGAAUGUAGAUUCAAUACCCACUCAAGUGUUGGUAAGAAGCCAGGGGCCCUGCCUCUACCUCGGAUGCUAACCAAGGAGCCUGGAUGGUUGUCUCUCUGCUCCUGCUUCUUACCUACAGCUCAAGGCCUGAUCAUUGUAAUUGCUGCAUUUAGAAGCCAGCGCCCACCACAGCAAUCAGACCACCAGCAGAUUUCUCAGGGAGGGGCUGGCUCUCCUCACCAUGGCAAGCAUGCCUUCUCUCUGAGAGGCUGGAAUCUGACUGAUCAGCAG